CUAAGGUAGCGAAAUUCCUUGUCGGGUAAGUUCCGACCUGCACGAAUGGCGUAAUGAUGGCCACGCUGUCUCCACCCAAGACUCAGUGAAAUUGAAAUCGCUGUUAAGAUGCAGUGUACCCGCGGCUAGACGGAAAGACCCCGUGAACCUUUACUAUAGCUUCACACUGGACUUUGACCUUAUUUGUGUAGGAUAGGUGGGAGACUUUGAAGCGUUGGCGCUAGCCAGCGUGGAGUCGCCCUUGAAAUACCACCCUGGUAAUGUUGAGGUUCUAACUUAGGUCCCUUAUCGGGAUUGAGGACAGUGUGUGGUGGGUAGUUUGACUGGGGCGGUCUCCUCCCAAAGAGUAACGGAGGAGCACGAAGGUACCCUAAGGGCGGUCGGAAAUCGCCCGAUUAGUGUAAUGGCAUAAGGGUGCUUGACUGCGAGACUGACAAGUCGAGCAGGAGCGAAAGCUGGUCAUAGUGAUCCGGUGGUUCUGAAUGGAAGGGCCAUCGCUCAACGGAUAAAAGGUACUCCGGGGAUAACAGGCUGAUACCGCCCAAGAGUUCACAUCGACGGCGGUGUUUGGCACCUCGAUGUCGGCUCAUCACAUCCUGGGGCUGAAGCCGGUCCCAAGGGUAUGGCUGUUCGCCAUUUAAAGUGGUACGCGAGCUGGGUUUAGAACGUCGUGAGACAGUUCGGUCCCUAUCUGCCGUGGGCGUUGGAAAUUUGAGAAGAGUUGCUCCUAGUACGAGAGGACCGGAGUGAACGAACCUCUGGUGUUCGGGUUGUGUCGCCAGACGCAUUGCCCGGUAGCUAUGUUCGGAAAGGAUAACCGCUGAAAGCAUCUAAGCGGGAAGCCUCCUUCGAGACGAGAUCUCCCUGAGGACUUGAUCCUCCUGAAGUGCCGUUGAAGACGACGACGUUGAUAGGCUGGGUGUGUAAGCGCUGUGAGGCGCUGAGCUAACCAGUACUAAUUGCACGUGAGGCUUGACCAU
RNAcentral lists this ribosomal RNA (980 nucleotides) under marine metagenome. RNAcentral's name for it is "bacterial LSU rRNA". It matches the Rfam family "Bacterial large subunit ribosomal RNA", at positions 1951 to 2925 of the family's 2925-position model. The record is from RNAcentral.